CCUACGGGUGGCAGCAGUAGGGAAUAUUGCUCAAUGGGGGAAACCCUGAAGCAGCAACGCCGCGUGAGGGAAGAAGGUUUUCGGAGUGUAAACCCCUUUUGUUAGAGAAGAAAAUGACGGUAUCUAACCAAUAAGCACCGGCUAACGCCAUGCCAGCAGCCGCGGUAAUACGGAGGGUGCAGGCGUUAAUCGGAUUCACUGGGCGUAAAGGGGGCGUAGGCGGGAUAGCAAGUCCGCUGUGAAAUCCUCGGGCUUAACCCUAGAACUGCAUUUGAAACUGUUAUUCUAGAGUACGGGAGAGGUAGGUGGAAUUCUUGGUGUAGCGGUGAAAUGCGUAGAUAUCAAGAGGAACACUGGUUGCGAAGGCGGCCUGCUGGAACGUAACUGACGCUGAUGCGCGAAAGCGUGGGGAGCAAACAGGAUUAGAUACCCUUGUAGUC
This 440-nucleotide ribosomal RNA is filed under the name uncultured bacterium. RNAcentral describes it as "partial 16S ribosomal RNA". It matches the Rfam family "Bacterial small subunit ribosomal RNA", at positions 338 to 795 of the family's 1533-position model. The record is from RNAcentral.